Long non-coding RNA from Fukomys damarensis (Damara mole-rat), 431 nucleotides. NCBI's taxonomy places the organism in Eukaryota, Metazoa, Chordata, Mammalia, Rodentia, Bathyergidae. The record is from Ensembl.
GUUACUUUGGGGGCCCUCCAGGGAACAGGGUAUAACAGAUUGGGAACCAGUGUUCCGUGCUUCCUCCCCCAAGUUGGGAAAUUCCUUUUUGGAAAUGAUUUGCCUUUUUACUCAGUCAGUUAAUGACACUAAAAGUUAAUGUAAAACAGCAGACCUUCCCGUUCUGCAACUUCCAUAAUGAAGCCACCGCCCUGGUGAAUACAGUGUCACCAACCUUACCAAGUGCAGAGCUCCUGUUUCAAAAAGAACCUGACCCUCCUGCAUUCCCAAGGGGACCGGCUCUGGAGAGAGGAAACCUGGACCAGAAGCAGAAUGACAUGCAGCACACCGGAGCUUCUGAAGAUCUUCACUGUAAGCGCAUAGAGAAUUUCAGCUCCACGAACCUUUAUUCUGCCCUGUGUGGAAGGACUACAGGUUGCUGUCACCUGUAA